This 68-nucleotide small RNA is filed under the name Salvator merianae (Argentine black and white tegu). RNAcentral describes it as "7SK RNA (ENSSMRG00000017288.1)". It matches the Rfam family "7SK RNA", at positions 21 to 88 of the family's 331-position model. Rfam says of the family: 7SK was discovered as an abundant small nuclear RNA in the mid-70s but a possible function has only recently been suggested. Two independent studies have found that 7SK RNA binds the CDK9/cyclin T complex (known as elongation factor P-TEFb). Lineage: Eukaryota; Metazoa; Chordata; Lepidosauria; Squamata; Teiidae. The record is from RNAcentral.
UGUGACAUCUGUCACCCCAAUGAUUGCCAGCAUUGAUUCAGCUGAGCUGGCUAACUAGGUGGAUGUUU